Camelina sativa (false flax) is the source of this 180-nucleotide non-coding RNA. Lineage: Eukaryota; Viridiplantae; Streptophyta; Magnoliopsida; Brassicales; Brassicaceae. The record is from RefSeq and is a predicted model, not a curated record.
CUGGCAGGGAAUUUUGUAGCUAUUGGUUCAAAAGAAUCACCGACAAUCGAGAUAUGGGAUCUUGACGUUAGAGACGAGGUGCUACCUUGUAUACAAUUAGGAGGAAAAGAGGAGAUGUUAGUGACUAAGAAAAAGAAGAAUAAGAAAGAUAAGAGUAAGAAAGAGAAGAGUAAGAAACAG